This is a non-coding RNA of Colinus virginianus (northern bobwhite), 73 nucleotides long. The record is from Rfam. NCBI's taxonomy places the organism in Eukaryota, Metazoa, Chordata, Aves, Galliformes, Odontophoridae.
GCCUGGCUAUUUCAGUCGGUAGAGCAUGAGACUCUAAAACUCAGGGUCAGGGGUUCAAGCCCCAUGUUGGGCA